RNAcentral lists this ribosomal RNA (1071 nucleotides) under Clostridioides difficile. RNAcentral describes it as "bacterial LSU rRNA". It matches the Rfam family "Bacterial large subunit ribosomal RNA", at positions 1258 to 2338 of the family's 2925-position model. The record is from RNAcentral. Lineage: Bacteria; Bacillati; Bacillota; Clostridia; Peptostreptococcales; Peptostreptococcaceae.
UGACCGUAAGGACAUGUGGACAGUAUGGGAGUGAGAAUGUUGGCAUGAGUAGCGAGAUGUGGGUGAGAAUCCCACAGGCCGUAAACCCAAGGUUUCCAGGGGAAGGUUCGUCCGCCCUGGGUUAGUCGGGACCUAAGCUGAGGCCGAAAGGCGUAGGUGAUGGACAACAGGUUGAUAUUCCUGUACUACCGAUAACCGUUUGAGAGAAGGGAUGACACAGUAGGAUAAGCUAAGCACACUGUUGGUUAUGUGUGCCCAAGCAUUGAGGCAGUCAAAGUAGGCAAAUCCGCUUUGAUAAUGCUGGGAUGUGAUGGGGAGCGAAAUUUAGUAGCGAAGUAGCUGAUUUCACACUGUCAAGAAAAGUCUCUAUCGAGGUUAAAGGUACCCGUACCGCAAACCGACACAGGUGGGUGAGGAGAGUAUCCUAAGGCCAGCGAGAGAACUGUUGUUAAGGAACUCGGCAAAAUGACCCCGUAACUUAGGGAUAAGGGGUGCCACCAUCAGGUGGCCGCAGAGAAUAGGCCCAAGCGACUGUUUACCAAAAACAUAGGUUUCUGCUAAGUCGCAAGACGAUGUAUAGGAGCUGACGCCUGCCCGGUGCUGGAAGGUUAAGGGGAUCUGUUAGAGCAAUCGAAGCAGUGAACUUAAGCCCCAGUAAACGGCGGCCGUAACUAUAACGGUCCUAAGGUAGCGAAAUUCCUUGUCGGGUAAGUUCCGACCCGCACGAAAGGCGUAACGAUUUGGGCACUGUCUCAACAACAGACUCGGUGAAAUUGUAAUUCCGGUGAAGAUGCCGGAUACCUGCGACAGGACGGAAAGACCCCAUGGAGCUUUACUGUAGCUUGACAUUGGGUCUUGGUACUACAUGUACAGGAUAGGUGGGAGGCUUUGAAACCAGGACGCCAGUUUUGGCGGAGCCAUCCUUGGGAUACCACCCUUGUAGUACUGGGACUCUAACCAUAGGCCAUGAAUCUGGUCUUGGGACACUGUCAGGUGGGCAGUUUGACUGGGGCGGUCGCCUCCCAAAAGGUAACGGAGGCGCUCAAAGGUUCUCUCAGUACGGUCGGAAAU